UACGUAGGGUGCGAGCGUUAAUCGGAGUUACUGGGCGUAAAGCGUGCGCAGGCGGUUUUGUAAGCCAGAUGUGAAAGCCCCGGGCUUAACCUGGGAAUGGCAUUUGGGACUGCAAGGCUGGAGUGUGGCAGAGGAGACUGGAAUUCCUGGUGUAGCAGUGAAAUGCGUAGAUAUCAGGAGGAAUACCGAUGGCGAAGGCAGGUCUCUGGGCUGACACUGACGCUCAUGCACGAAAGCGUGGGGAGCAAACAGG
Molecule: ribosomal RNA, 253 nt
Filed under: uncultured bacterium
Lineage: Bacteria
Description: partial 16S ribosomal RNA
Rfam family: Bacterial small subunit ribosomal RNA
Source: RNAcentral